Molecule: non-coding RNA, 240 nt
Organism: Vicia faba (fava bean)
Lineage: Eukaryota; Viridiplantae; Streptophyta; Magnoliopsida; Fabales; Fabaceae
Source: the annotation of a GenBank genome assembly
AUGCUUUUCAGAAUUAGAGACUGGAUGAUGAAAGGUUUUCUGAACUGGUUUUUUAUCUGGAUUUCUGUGGUUAGGGCAACUGAUAUAGGGCCGCGCGGGUCAAAGAAAUCAUCAGUGGGCUCAAUUUCCUGGGUUCCAGAUGCAGAUUUAUCAUUUGGUUCUGAUUUUAAAUUGGCGGCUGAUCUGUUUGCACCGUUUGCGAUUGCAAAGUUUAUGUUAAAAGAUGGCGCCUUGGAGUAA